GGACAAUGAUCACUCUGUUGGCUAAGAAACAACAUUGUCACAAUGUCGAAUCCUCUAUUUUUUUAUUUUUUUUUUCAACUUUAAGCAAGCUGACAUCUCUUCAAAUGCAAGCUUAAUGAGUGACCUAUAUUGACAUAACACAAUAUUUGAUUGAUAGAUAAACAAUACUGCUCUAAGGCCCUUGACUGGCUCUUUUUCAGAUCUGAAAGGAGAAAGAAUGAGAAACCGAUUAAGGAUUUCAAAGUGAUUGCAAGAAAAUAUGCAAAUUAAGAAAAACUAAUUGUGAAACAAAGUUUACCCAUAGUUUCUAUUUAGUAAUAAAUGUUAGUAAUGAGUAGGGAUUUAUCAGAAAUCAGACGAGACACUGCAGGUAAAUAAGGGAAAAAAAUGAACUAAUAGUUAUCACCAUAAUACAAUAAAAAUUGCAAACAUUUCUUGUAAUACAAGUUUUUUAAAAUGCUAUGUUUAAAUAUGCAAAUGAGGCAUUAUUUACUUAAAAAUGAGCUAAUUUGCAUACAUUUCUAGUACAAAAAUCUAAACAUUGGAUGAAGUCAGGUUCAGAAUUCUUGUUUCAUUUCUCUCUUUUUUUUUUACAUAUUAGAGUCAAAAGUUUUUACAGAGGGGAUCUCUUUUUAUCACAGAAAAAAAAAUAAAUUUUCAAAAUUUUUCUUUGAAAUAAAAUGUUGUAUAUAAUCUGGCAAAUUAUAUAUGAACAAAUCCCUCUGUAAAAACCUUCAGAAUAUCGAUUAAAAAAAAAAAAAAAAAAACUCAUUUUGAGAAAAUAGCCUUUAAAAAUAUAUAUUGUAAUUGAAAUCUAUAGACACAAAUAGAUAAAGUGCCAAAAAAUAAAUGCUUAAAGGUGGAUUUUGGAUGUUUUCUUACCACUAGUUGGAAAACAAAACACUUUAUUAAAAGCCAAAAAGCCCAAAAUCUAAAAAAUGAUUGUUAAACAACAGCAACAUAACUACUACUAACUUGGUGAUAAAUAAAUGCAAUAAAUAAAAUCAUAUUUAUUUAUUUUUUUAGCACAACUGAAACAAAUGUGCAGAGAUAAUAUCAGAAUAAUGUUUAACUGGAGCUGUUCGUGGGAAAUAUAAAUUACACAGAAUAUUAACUAGGAUAUUCUUUUACUUUAUUAAAGCUAUUUUUGACAAUUCCAUCUGUUAAGAUAAGAUUAGGUAGAGGGGUUUUGAACUAAAAUUGAAAAUUAUAGCAUUAUCUUUAAUUGCAUAUAUAAAUGAAUGUAUGUGCAUGUGUAUGUACAGUCCUUUUUCAUUAUGUGCUGUAAUGAUGCAGAAAAAAUAAUAUUUUAUGCAAAAUAAAAGUGAUAAAAAAUAGUAUCAGCAUUAUUAAAAGUCACCUUGGCAUCAUUUUGAAAGUAGGUAAGUGGGAUGAUUUGAAUCAAGUGUAUUAAACGCAUGGCAUAGCAUUUUAAAAUUGAAAGCAUAGAAAGUAUAGGUGAAUUCUGCAUUAAAUCUGUAUGAUAUAAAAAUAUAUAAAAACCCACACGGAAAAAUCUUGCACUGUUUUUCCAAAAGUAACAGAGAAACAUAAAUGGAAAUUUGUGUCCUGAUACUAUCCACCCCUGACUGUUGUAAAACAUCAGAAAAAACUGACAGUUUUGAAUAUGCAUUUCAGAUAAAUAUAAGUUUUACACUUCAUUGUGUCUUUGACAGUCACAUUCAUGUUGCUUUGACCUGAAUGCAUCUAAAAAUAUAUUUCACUAUAUAAUGAAAUGUAUGAAUGCUUUAAGCUCUGUUUAAAGGACUGAAGUGAACAGUUUAAACUGCAGCAGGAGAUACAAUGCUAUUCUUAUUGUGCAGUUCACAUCAUAAUUAUUUUACUACAUGCACAAGUAUAAAUGUUUCAUGAUGCUGGUUCUGUAAUAAUGCAAGAACCCAGGCUAUAAAUUAUGUAAAAUAAAUGUGAUUUACUGUAUUGUUCUUAUUAUACAGUAAUUAUGUUUGUCACCUCAAACGUCUUAAAGCUAACCUCUGGCAUCAUUUUGAAAGUAGGUAAGUAGGAUGAUCUGAAUCAAGGGUUAGUAUUAUUUUCCACAGGAAGCGGGCGCUGUGCAGAAAUAAGACAUGAUAAAACUUCCUGCCUACGUCACAGACGUCUGUGGUUGUUUUUCUCUUGUGCGAGGCAAGCAAGACAGGAUGUGUGUGUUUGCGCAUGUGUGUGUGGGUGGGUGACAGAAAUGAGGACAGGAAGACUGAUGCAUGCACAUUUGCACAUUUUGCAGCUUGCAGAGCGAGAGAGAGAAAUGUAGCACAUGCAUGACUUUGGCCUAUAAUAUGAGCCUUAUAAUCUGUCAUCAUGUAGGAUAGGUUACCUACUGUUAAAUACUGUUAAAAACACACUUCCUCUCUCAUUAGGAUUUUUUCACUGUUGCACCUACUUUAUACAUUUAUUGUAUUAUUCAUAAACAUUAUUAAUAACUAAAACAGAGUGUGUGAUUAGUCAUAAAAGCACAUCAAAUGUGCAUCACAUAUAAAAGGCACUACAAGAGAAAGAGUGAUUUAAUCAUUUCUCUGAAUGUUUUUUUCCGAUGCUUAACCUUUGUGCUUUCCUUGAAAGUGUGAUUCAUGAUAAACAUCUUGCUCAUUUUAGUUAAAUACGUACCGGUAUAAGAUGCACACAUGUAGAUGUGUGAAUAAAGGAGAAAUUGUGUUACGGUUUUAAAUGAAGCAUUUAUUCAUUCUCUUUUUGCAGUGUAUUUUGUUUUGUACAAAAAUAUCAAAGAUAUGUUUUGUUUUUAAUUAUUUUAAUCAUUAUUCUAUUAUAUAGACGUCAGUAUUUCAUGAUAUGCUGUAUGUGCAUGCGCAUUCAUGUGCAAAACACAUUCAUGAAGUCAUGUACAGUUCAACAGAUCUCUAAAGUGUCAUCAUUCAUCUGUGGUUUGGACUAAUUCCUCAGUAAAUCUGCAGGACUGCUGAUGAGAGGACAGUGACAGAAACCUCCAGCAGAGGGCCUACAGCAAGAUCAUCCUCCCAGCCAAAUCUAAGACAGUAGCUCAGCAGGAAACAAAGUUGGAGAGACGGAGGGGGACGGGAUCGGGAAAGUUCCACGAGCCGGGACUUGAACUCAACUGCACCAUAUGUCAACACGCUGCCCACGAGGCUAUUGGCACCAACUCAACAAUAUUUUGUUUUAUUUUAUUUAGAAUUUUGAGGGGAUUUUAUGAUACUAUGCAAUAUUUAUACAAUUUUUAUGAGCUACUUUUCCCUAUUGAAAAUAACAUUUAUUUUUGUAAUAUAUUUUUAUAUACAUUAUUUUUUUAUUAAUACAGUAUUCGAUGUUAAAAUAGAGACAAUGCACUUAAAAUACAAUUUUUGAAGGUAGAUUAGUGCAAUCUGGUGGGAGUAAAAAAGGAAAACUUAUGUAAUGCCAUGGUGUAACCUUAAAUUAAUACAUUGUUUAAAUUAAUACAUUGUUAGCUAACUGCGUGAUUUGUAUAUGUACAUUUUUGAAUUUACAUAACUUGGACACAGUCACCUCUGAUAACAGAUCACUCUAAAUUGUAAUGUUGACAUGCAUUUUCUGUAAAGCUGCUUUGAAACAAUAUGUAUUAUGAAAAGCGCCAUUCAAAUAAAUGUGAAUUGAACUGAAUUAACCGCUAAAUGUCUGUAUAGUUCUAUAUAAAGUGGCUUAUAAAUUC
Molecule: long non-coding RNA, 3661 nt
Organism: Ctenopharyngodon idella (grass carp)
Lineage: Eukaryota; Metazoa; Chordata; Actinopteri; Cypriniformes; Xenocyprididae
Exons: 2
Source: RefSeq, a predicted model, not a curated record